This 153-nucleotide small nuclear RNA is filed under the name Diaphorina citri (Asian citrus psyllid). RNAcentral describes it as "U12 minor spliceosomal RNA". It matches the Rfam family "U12 minor spliceosomal RNA". From Rfam's summary of the family: Although the U12 sequence is very divergent from that of U2, the two are functionally analogous. Lineage: Eukaryota; Metazoa; Arthropoda; Insecta; Hemiptera; Psyllidae. The record is from Rfam by way of RNAcentral.
GUGCCUUAAACUAAUGAGUAAGGAAAAAUGCAAGCCUUGGUGACGCUUGGCUUCGCCUAUAAUGGUUAGUUUGAAUUUUUGUACAGGCACAGGUCGUCCUCUAGAGUGAUUUGCCUACUUUUGCAAAUCGUUCGAGUGAUAGCGAUCUGCCUG